Molecule: ribosomal RNA, 219 nt
Filed under: Priestia megaterium
Lineage: Bacteria; Bacillati; Bacillota; Bacilli; Caryophanales; Bacillaceae
Description: Bacillus megaterium partial 16S ribosomal RNA
Rfam family: Bacterial small subunit ribosomal RNA
Source: RNAcentral
GCAUUAGCUAGUUGGUGAGGUAACGGCUCACCAAGGCAACGAUGCAUAGCCGACCUGAGAGGGUGAUCGGCCACACUGGGACUGAGACACGGCCCAGACUCCUACGGGAGGCAGCAGUAGGGAAUCUUCCGCAAUGGACGAAAGUCUGACGGAGCAACGCCGCGUGAGUGAUGAAGGCUUUCGGGUCGUAAAACUCUGUUGUUAGGGAAGAACAAGUAC